UGGGGAAUAUUGGACAAUGGGGGCAACCCUGAUCCAGCCAUGCCGCGUGAGUGAAGAAGGCCUUAGGGUUGUAAAGCUCUUUUGGCGGGGACGAUAAUGACGGUACCCGCAGAAUAAGCCCCGGCUAACUUCGUGCCAGCAGCCGCGGUAAUACGAAGGGGGCUAGCGUUGUUCGGAAUCACUGGGCGUAAAGCGCACGCAGGCGGAUUGAUAAGUCAGGGGUGAAAUCCCGGAGCUCAACUUCGGAAUUGCCUUUGAUACUGUCUGUCUUCGAGUUCGGGAGAGGUUGGCGGAAUUCCUAGUGUAGAGGUGAAAUUCGUAGAUAUUAGGAAGAACACCAGUGGCGAAGGCGGCCAACUGGCCCGAUACUGACGCUCAUGUGCGAAAGCGUGGGGAGCAAACA
RNAcentral lists this ribosomal RNA (403 nucleotides) under uncultured bacterium. Its description in RNAcentral is "partial 16S ribosomal RNA". It matches the Rfam family "Bacterial small subunit ribosomal RNA", at positions 355 to 774 of the family's 1533-position model. RNAcentral also lists the same sequence under 1 other name. The record is from RNAcentral.